Molecule: long non-coding RNA, 563 nt
Organism: Esox lucius (northern pike)
Lineage: Eukaryota; Metazoa; Chordata; Actinopteri; Esociformes; Esocidae
Source: Ensembl
CAUUCGUCACGACCUAUGAGGCCUCGUCAGCUUACACUUGCGCGUCUCCGUAGCAGUCGCGUGGCUCUUCGAGGGAGAUCGAUGGGUUAUUUGUUUUUCCAGAGACUGAUAUUUAUAAGAUAUUCCUGGGGAUAUUCUCCCUAUUUGGAGAUCCAUGUAUCCGUACCACUGGUUAAAGAGAGGACGGUGAGAGGAGAGGAAAGAAAACAAGCCGGCAGUAUGGCAGUAAUCACGGACUGGCUGUCAGGGCUGCUGCCCAUGAUGGCGGGUCAAGGUGUCUGGGCCUGUGGAGGAUGGCCCACACUGAAUAACCUUAUGAGCUUCCCCGAUCAUUGGGAUUGGGAGGGAAAACGGCUUUUUAUCUUUAUGAGCCUUGAAUUCCACGAGGAUCAGAGAGAGUGGAAGAGGAGAAGGUGAGGGCGCAGGUUAUCUAUAAAGGGCUGUGGCUAAUAGUGUUGUGUGCGCCAGGAGCUGGAGACUUCAGACGUGUCAGUUCCUGAGACUACUGUGUUAUUAGAUGUUCCCAAGGAUAUGAGUAAUGGAGAAAGGAGAGGAGUGGAGAG